Molecule: ribosomal RNA, 253 nt
Filed under: uncultured bacterium
Lineage: Bacteria
Description: partial 16S ribosomal RNA
Rfam family: Bacterial small subunit ribosomal RNA
Source: RNAcentral
UACGUAGGGUGCAAGCGUUAAUCGGAAUUACUGGGCGUAAAGCGUGCGCAGGCGGUUAUUCAAGACAGAUGUGAAAUCCCCGGGCUCAACCUGGGAACUGCAUUUGUGACUGCAUGGCUGGAGUGCGGCAGAGGGGGAUGGAAUUCCGCGUGUAGCAGUGAAAUGCGUAGAUAUCUGGAGGAACACCGGUGGCGAAGGCGGCAUCCUGGACCGGCAUUGACGCUGAGGCGCGAAAGCCAGGGGAGCAAACGGG